GUACUUGUCCCAAUUUUGGCGCUGUUUUGAGGCCCAUUUCACAGUUACCCCCUUUAGCUUCACCUACUUCGCAGAAUAAUCAUCGUAAGAGAAGUUCACCACAAACUGGUACUUGUUCAAAUUCGCAACAAUUUGGAGUGGUGAACACUUCUCCGCGAUUCUGCGGCGAAAUGGGAUAUUCACCACUCCAAACAGCUCAAGCAAUUGCUACACAUACGGGUUUGAAUCAACAACAUUUGAUGUUGUCGGGUGGGAAAGAGGAUUU
Molecule: unclassified non-coding RNA, 265 nt
Filed under: Hevea brasiliensis (rubber tree)
Lineage: Eukaryota; Viridiplantae; Streptophyta; Magnoliopsida; Malpighiales; Euphorbiaceae
Source: RNAcentral